GCGUGCUUAACACAUGCAAGUCGAACGAGAACGGUCCUAGCUUGCUAGGAUGUCAGCUAAGUGGCGGACGGGUGAGUAAUGUAUAGUUAAUCUGCCCUUUAGAGAGGAAUAACUACUGGAAACGGUAGCUAAUACCUCAUACUCCUUCUUUUUUAAUAAGAGUUGGGAAAUGUUUUUUCGCUAAAGGAUGAGACUAUAUGGUAUCAGGUAGUUGGUGGGGUAAGAGCCCACCAAGCCAAUGACGCCUAGCUGGUCUGAGAGGAUGAUCGGCCACACUGGAACUGAGACACGGUCCAGACUCCUACGGGAGGCAGCAGUGGGGAAUAUUGCACAAUGGAGGAAACUCUGAUGCAGCAACGCCGCGUGGAGGAUGACACAUUUCGGUGCGUAAACUCCUUUUAUAUGGGAAGAUAAUGACGGUACCAUAUGAAUAAGCACCGGCUAACUCCGUGCCAGCAGCCGCGGUAAUACGGAGGGUGCAAGCGUUACUCGGAAUCACUGGGCGUAAAGCGCGCGCAGGCGGCUAUUUAAGUUGGAUGUGAAAGCCUACGGCUCAACCGUAGAACUGCAUCCAAAACUAUUUAGCUAGAGUGUGGGAGAGGAAGAUGGAAUUAGUUGUGUA
This 622-nucleotide ribosomal RNA is filed under the name uncultured bacterium. Its description in RNAcentral is "bacterial SSU rRNA". It matches the Rfam family "Bacterial small subunit ribosomal RNA", at positions 42 to 677 of the family's 1533-position model. The record is from RNAcentral.